This 425-nucleotide ribosomal RNA is filed under the name uncultured bacterium. RNAcentral describes it as "bacterial SSU rRNA". It matches the Rfam family "Bacterial small subunit ribosomal RNA", at positions 917 to 1344 of the family's 1533-position model. The record is from RNAcentral.
GGGCCCGCACAAGCGGUGGAGCAUGUGGUUUAAUUCGAUGAUACGCGAGGAACCUUACCAGGGCUUAAAUGUAGUCUGACAGGGGUGGAAACACCCCCUCCUUCGGGCAGAUUACAAGGUGCUGCAUGGUUGUCGUCAGCUCGUGCCGUGAGGUGUCAGGUUAAGUCCUAUAACGAGCGCAACCCCUGCCGUUAGUUGCCAGCAUGUAAUGAUGGGAACUCUAACGGGACUGCCGGUGCAAACCGCGAGGAAGGUGGGGAUGACGUCAAAUCAUCACGGCCCUUACGUCCUGGGCUACACACGUGCUACAAUGGCCGGUACAGAGGGCAGCCACACCGCAAGGUGGAGCGAAUCCUUAAAAACCGGUCUCAGUUCGGAUCGGGGUCUGCAACUCGGCCCCGUGAAGUCGGAAUCGCUAGUAAUCG